This 255-nucleotide ribosomal RNA is filed under the name uncultured bacterium. RNAcentral's name for it is "partial small subunit ribosomal RNA". It matches the Rfam family "Bacterial small subunit ribosomal RNA", at positions 26 to 285 of the family's 1533-position model. The record is from RNAcentral.
AGGACGAACGCUGGCGGCGUGCUUAACACAUGCAAGUCGAGCGGAAAGGCCCUUCGGGGUACUCGAGCGGCGAACGGGUGAGUAACACGUGGGCAACCUGCCCCUAGCUCUGGGAUAACUCCGGGAAACCGGUGCUAAUACCGGAUAUGACCUCAUUAGGCAUCCUUUGAGGUGGAAAGAUUUAUCGGCUAGGGAUGGGCCCGCGGCCUAUCAGCUUGUUGGUGGGGUAAUGGCCUACCAAGGCGACGACGGGUA